GUGCACACCGAAUCAUUUACUCUAUCGUCUAUAAAAAGCAUCAUUUUUUCUACUUCACUCCACCAUUUCACAAACCCUAGCAAGUCUUUUCAUUUCCUCUACGUUUCUCUCGUCUUCGCCGAUUAAAGGAGAUGUCGGACCAACGCCACUACAUUGGCCUUGUUGAGGUUGUCCCAAGCAAUGCAGUGAGCACGAAGCAAAGUGGAACAAGUAUUGGAAACUAUGAGAAGACCACAAGGAACAACAUUUGCGACAAACAGAGUGGGAGUUAUCUGCGCCAGACUGCUAAGGAGUCAUACUCUAGUGGGGAUUACUCCAACAGGGGGAAAACUGGAUACAAGAAUGAAUACAAGACUAGUGAGACUGUCAAGGUUGGUGACAAAGGGGGUUACACUGAGUACUUCAAGCAGGAGAGAGUCACUCGGGUUAACUAUGACAGUGGCAGCCACUCUGGAGGCAGCAAGGGCGGAUAUGGUGGUGGCAAGAAGUAUCUUCACUGAAGGUUCUUAGGUCGUCUUUUAUCUGAAAUAAAAAUGACUUUUGAAACUUUUGAAUUGUGUUGAUAUGCAGGUUUAAUCUCCAAAUUUAGAGCUGGUUUUCUUCUAGUUUUGAAGAUAGAAAUUCAAAAACUGUUUGAAGCUCAUGGUUGAAUGUUACCACGGUUUUCUCGAACAAGUUGCAUAUUUUAUGUUCUCGUCAAAUUUAUAUCCAACAUGUGCAAAUAGUUCAUAUUUUA
This is a long non-coding RNA of Beta vulgaris subsp. vulgaris (sugar beet), 736 nucleotides long. RefSeq lists it as uncharacterized. NCBI's taxonomy places the organism in Eukaryota, Viridiplantae, Streptophyta, Magnoliopsida, Caryophyllales, Amaranthaceae. The transcript has 2 exons. The record is from RefSeq and is a predicted model, not a curated record.